CGGAGAUAAACCUCGAACAACUAGGGUUUCAGCUGAACCCUAGAAUGAGAAAGGCUUAGAAAAUGUAUGAUCUAAGUCGGAUAAAACUGGAAAUGGGUUUAGGAGGCUAAAAUAUGCUGGAAACAGGACGGAGAUGGCCAGAAACCUCAAGUAGGCAUAGAUCUGGGUGGAGACCUUUGAGGUCUAGCAUCAAUCCUUCGAAUAUCAAGCACAGAAGAGCGAUAGGAGGUGAGUAUGAGGGUUUCACGGCCUGAGAAGCCAUGGAAACCAGUGAGAAUCGAAGGGAUUAGGUCUUGGAGGGCGGCGACUAGGGUUUGCAGAGAGAGUGGGAGAGGAAGGGAAUUCAAGGGCGGCG
RNAcentral lists this long non-coding RNA (355 nucleotides) under Nicotiana benthamiana. Its description in RNAcentral is "long non-coding RNA (NBEN_LNC011419)". The record is from RNAcentral. Lineage: Eukaryota; Viridiplantae; Streptophyta; Magnoliopsida; Solanales; Solanaceae.